AGAGUUUGAUCCUGGCUCAGAGGACCGAACGCUGGCGGCGUGCUUAACACAUGCAAGUCGAGCGAUGAAGUUUCUUCGGAAAUGGAUUAGCGGCGAACGGGUGAGGAACACGUGAAGAAUCUGCCCUCCACUUUGGGAUAACACCGGGAAACCGGUGCUAAUACCGAAUAUUGAAACAUAAGUGGCAUCACUGAGUUUUGAAAGAAUUUCGGUGGAGGAUGACUUCGCGGCCUAUCAGCUAGUUGGUGAGGUAAUGGCUCACCAAGGCAACGACGGGUAGCCGGCCUGAGAGGGCGACCGGCCACACUGGGACUGAGACACGGCCCAGACUCCUACGGGAGGCAGCAGUGGGGAAUAUUGGGCAAUGGAGGAAACUCUGACCCAGCGACGCCGCGUGCGGGAUGAAGGCCUUCGGGUUGUAAACCGCUUUCAGUAGGGAAGAAGCGAAAGUGACGGUACCUACAAAAGAAGCACCGGCUAACUAUGUGCCAGCAGCCGCGGUAAUACAUAGGGUGCAAGCGUUGUCCGGAAUUAUUGGGCGUAAAGAGCUCGUAGGUCGUUUGUUACGUCGGAUGUGAAAACCUGAGGCUCAACCUCAGGCCUGCAUUCGAUACGGGCAAACUAGAGUUUGGUAGGGGAGACUGGAAUUCCUGGUGUAGCGGUGGAAUGCGCAGAUAUCAGGAGGAACACCAAUGGCGAAGGCAGGUCUCUGGGCCAAUACUGACACUGAGGAGCGAAAGUCUGGGGAGCGAACAGGAUUAGAUACCCUGGUAGUCCAGACCGUAAACGGUGGGCACUAGUUGUGGGAACCUUCCACGGUUUCUGCGACGCAGCUAACGCAUUAAGUGCCCCGCCUGGGGAGUACGAUCGCAAGAUUAAAACUCAAAGGAAUUGACGG
This 898-nucleotide ribosomal RNA is filed under the name uncultured Actinomycetes bacterium. RNAcentral's name for it is "bacterial SSU rRNA". It matches the Rfam family "Bacterial small subunit ribosomal RNA", at positions 8 to 916 of the family's 1533-position model. The record is from RNAcentral. Lineage: Bacteria; Bacillati; Actinomycetota; Actinomycetes.